RNAcentral lists this ribosomal RNA (420 nucleotides) under Bacillus sp. Lgg15.4. Its description in RNAcentral is "bacterial SSU rRNA". It matches the Rfam family "Bacterial small subunit ribosomal RNA", at positions 43 to 451 of the family's 1533-position model. Lineage: Bacteria; Bacillati; Bacillota; Bacilli; Caryophanales; Bacillaceae. The record is from RNAcentral.
CAGGCCUAACACAUGCAAGUCGAGCGAAUGGAUUAAGAGCUUGCUCUUAUGAAGUUAGCGGCGGACGGGUGAGUAACACGUGGGUAACCUACCCAUAAGACUGGGAUAACUCCGGGAAACCGGGGCUAAUACCGGAUAAUAUUUUGAACUGCAUAGUUCGAAAUUGAAAGGCGGCUUCGGCUGUCACUUAUGGAUGGACCCGCGUCGCAUUAGCUAGUUGGUGAGGUAACGGCUCACCAAGGCAACGAUGCGUAGCCGACCUGAGAGGGUGAUCGGCCACACUGGGACUGAGACACGGCCCAGACUCCUACGGGAGGCAGCAGUAGGGAAUCUUCCGCAAUGGACGAAAGUCUGACGGAGCAACCCCGCGUGAGUGAUGAAGGCUUUCGGGUCGUAAAACUCUGUUGUUAGGGAAGAACA